This 940-nucleotide ribosomal RNA is filed under the name uncultured bacterium. RNAcentral's name for it is "bacterial SSU rRNA". It matches the Rfam family "Bacterial small subunit ribosomal RNA", at positions 28 to 1015 of the family's 1533-position model. The record is from RNAcentral.
AACGUACGCUGGCGGCACGCCUAACACAUGCAAGUCGAGCGAGGUAGCAAUACCUAGCGGCAGACGGGUGAGUAACAUGUGGGAAUCUGCCUUUUGGUUCGGAACAACACGGGGAAACCUGUGCUAAUACCGGAUAAGUCCUAACGGAGAAAGUUUUAAUGCCAAAAGAUGAGCCCGCAUUUGAUUAGCUAGUUGGUAAGGUAAAAGCUUACCAAGGCGACAAUCAAUAGCUGAUUUGAGAGGAUGAUCAGCCACACUGGGACUGAGAUACGGCCCAGACUCCUACGGGAGGCAGCAGUGGGGAAUCUUGCACAAUGGGCGAAAGCCUGAUGCAGCGAUGCCGCGUGAGUGAAGAAGGCCUUUGGGUUGUAAAGCUCUUUUGUCGGGAAAGAUAAUGACUGUACCCGAAGAAUAAGGUCCGGCUAACUUCGUGCCAGCAGCCGCGGUAAUACGAAGGGACCUAGCGUAGUUCGGAAUUACUGGGCGUAAAGAGUAUGUAGGCGGCUAGAUAAGUUAAUUGUGAAAGCCCAAAGCUUAACUUUGGAAUUGCAAUUAAAACUAUUUAGCUGGAGUAUGAUAGAGGAAAGCGGAAUACAUAGUGUAGAGGUGAAAUUCGUAGAUAUUAUGUAGAACACCAGUUGCGAAGGCGGCUUUCUGGAUCAUUACUGACGCUGAGAUACGAAAGUAUGGGUAGCGAAGAGGAUUAGAUACCCUCGUAGUCCAUACCAUAAACGAUGAUUAUUAGAUGUGGGGAAUUAUUUCUCUGUAUCAUAGCUAACGCGUUAAAUAAUCCGCCUGGGGAGUACGACCGCAAGGUUAAAACUCAAAUGAAUUGACGGGGACCCGCACAAGCGGUGGAGCAUGUGGUUUAAUUCGAAGCAACGCGCAGGACCUUACCAACCCUUGACAUGUUUGUCGCGAGACUAAGAAAUUAGUCUCU